RNAcentral lists this small RNA (95 nucleotides) under Salix viminalis (osier). The record is from RNAcentral. Lineage: Eukaryota; Viridiplantae; Streptophyta; Magnoliopsida; Malpighiales; Salicaceae.
ACCAACAAGAAAUAUGAGCCUAUAUGAUCAAACAGUAGUAUAUGCACCAGUCAACCAAAGUCCUGAUUGAAGCAAAACAGGACUGAAGUGGUUUU